UAAAUCAGUUAUCGUUUAUUUGAUAGUACCUUACUACUUGGAUAACCGUGGUAAUUCUAGAGCUAAUACAUGCUGAAAACCCUGACUUCGGAAAGGGUGUAUUUAUUAGAUAAAAAACCAAUGCCCUUCGGGGCUCUUUGGUGAUUCAUGAUAACUUAACGGAUCGCAUGGCCUUGCGCCGGCGACGGUUCAUUCAAAUUUCUGCCCUAUCAACUUUCGAUGGUAAGGUAUUGGCUUACCAUGGUUUCAACGGGUAACGGGGAAUUAGGGUUCGAUUCCGGAGAGGGAGCCUGAGAAACGGCUACCACAUCCAAGGAAGGCAGCAGGCGCGCAAAUUACCCAAUCCCGACACGGGGAGGUAGUGACAAUAAAUACUGAUACAGGGCUCUUUUGGGUCUUGUAAUCGGAAUGAGUACAAUUUAAACCUCUUAACGAGGAACAAUUGGAGGGCAAGUCUGGUGCCAGCAGCCGCGGUAAUUCCAGCUCCAAUAGCGUAUAUUAAAGUUGUUGCAGUUAAAAAGCUCGUAGUUGAAUCUUGGGCCUGGCUGGCCGGUCCGCCUCACCGCGUGUACUGGUCUGGCCGGGCCUUUCCUUCUGGAGAACCUCAUGCCCUUCAUUGGGUGUGUUGGGGAACCAGGACUUUUACUUUGAAAAAAUUAGAGUGUUCAAAGCAGGCCUUUGCUCGAAUACGUUAGCAUGGAAUAAUAGAAUAGGACGUGCGGUCCUAUUUUGUUGGUUUCUAGGACCGCCGUAAUGAUUAAUAGGGAUAGUCGGGGGCAUCAGUAUUCAAUUGUCAGAGGUGAAAUUCUUGGAUUUAUUGAAGACUAACUACUGCGAAAGCAUUGGCCAAGGAUGUUUUCAUUAAUCAGUGAACGAAAGUUAGGGGAUCGAAAACAAUAAGAUACCGUCGUAGUCUUAACCGUAAACUAUGCCGACUAGGGAUCGGGCGAUGUUUCAUU
This 959-nucleotide ribosomal RNA is filed under the name Desertiserpentica hydei. Its description in RNAcentral is "Pleosporales sp. DST-2020a partial large subunit ribosomal RNA". It matches the Rfam family "Eukaryotic small subunit ribosomal RNA", at positions 102 to 1069 of the family's 1831-position model. Lineage: Eukaryota; Fungi; Ascomycota; Dothideomycetes; Pleosporales; Lophiostomataceae. The record is from RNAcentral.